GAGCCAUUAGCUCAGCUGGUAGAGCAUCUGACUUUUAAUCAGAGGGUCAGAAGUUCGAAUCCUCUAUGGCUCA
Molecule: transfer RNA, 73 nt
Filed under: Staphylococcus aureus
Lineage: Bacteria; Bacillati; Bacillota; Bacilli; Caryophanales; Staphylococcaceae
Description: tRNA-Lys
Rfam family: tRNA
About the family: Transfer RNA (tRNA) molecules are approximately 80 nucleotides in length. Their secondary structure includes four short double-helical elements and three loops (D, anti-codon, and T loops).
Source: RNAcentral